AGUCUAUAUUUAUUUUUGUUUUUUGAUUUUUGAUUUUAUUUUAAUAUAAGUGGAUUUAUUUUUAUUUGUUUGAGUAAAUAUUUAGAAGGAAUUUUUUUAUGAUAGUUUAAUAUUAAAGUAGUUGGUAAUUUUUAUUUUUAAUAAAGUAGAUUUAAUUUAAUUGUACCUUUUGUAUCAGGGUUUAUCUAAUUUUUUUAUUUAAUUGGUUUCUCUCGAUUUAAAUUGAUUUAUAAUAUUAUUUUAGUUAAUGUUGAAUAAUUAUUAAUAAUAAUAUUAUGUUAAUGAUAUGUUAUUCGUAUUUUAAGAUAUCUAGUUUCUUAAGAUUAAGUUAAAUUUUUUAAGAUCCUUAAUAAUGGUUUGUUAUAGGGUUUUUUUAUGAGUUUUUAAUAAUAGUAAAAGGGAUAAGCUUUUUAUUUUGCUAUAARKUUUAUAAUUUAUUUWUAUGUUUAGGCUUUAAAUUAGCCAUUAAUUUUAAGUUCGUUUUAGUUUAUAUUUUARUWUAUUUAUAUUUAUUUUUGUUUUAGCUUUUUUAUUAAGAURAUAAAAUUAAUUUAAAAUUUAAUGUAAUARUGAUUYMAUUAGUAUAAUUAUUUUUGUUUAUAUUUUUAUUUUUCUUUAAUUUAGAUAAAGGAAUUAGGCAAAUAUYRAUUCUCGCCUGUUUAUCAAAAACAUGUCUUUUUGAAUAUAAUUUAAAGUCUAACCUGCCCAAUGGUUUAUUUUAAUGGCCGCGGUAUAUUGACCGUGCAAAGGUAGCAUAAUCAUUAGUCUUUUAAUUAAAGGCUGGAAUGAAUGGUUUGACGAGGAAUUGACUGUCUCUGUUUAAUAAUUAAAAUUUAAAUUUUCAGUGAAAAGGCUGAAAUUUUGAUUAAGGACGAGAAGACCCUAUAGAGUUUUAUAUAUAGUUUUAUAAAUUGUUUAGUUUUAAUUUUAAAUUUAUAUUUUAUUUAUAUUUGGUUGGGGUGACAGGGGAAAUAAUUAAACUUCCCUUUUUUGUUACAUUUAUUUAUGUUAUAUGAUCCUUAAUUUUGGAUUUUAAGAUUAAAUUACCUUAGGGAUAACAGCGUAAUUAAUUUUAAGAGUUCUUAUCGACAAAUUAGUUUGCGACCUCGAUGUUGGAUUAAGAUUAAUUUUAGGUGUAGUGGCUUAAAUGAUUAGGUCUGUUCGACCUUUAAUUUCUUACAUGAUCUGAGUUCAGACCGGCGUGAGCCAGGUCGGUUUCUAUCCUAAACUUAUUAAAUUAUAUUAGUACGAGAGGACCAUAUAUUUUAGAUUAUCUGUUAUUAUUGAAUAUUAUUAAUUUU
RNAcentral lists this ribosomal RNA (1301 nucleotides) under Proscopia sp. HS-2014. RNAcentral's name for it is "16S ribosomal RNA". The stretch from base 841 to 1232 matches the Rfam family "Bacterial large subunit ribosomal RNA", at positions 2049 to 2651 of the family's 2925-position model. The record is from RNAcentral. Lineage: Eukaryota; Metazoa; Arthropoda; Insecta; Orthoptera; Proscopiidae.